UCGGGAAUUUUGUGCAAUGGGCGAAAGCCUGACACAGCAACGCCGCGUGAAGGAUGAAGUCCCUCGGGAUGUAAACUUCGUAAGAAUAGGAAGAAUAAAUGACGGUACUAUUUGUAAGGUCCGGCUAACUACGUGCCAGCAGCCGCGGUAAUACGUAGGUGGCAAGCGUUGUCCGGAUUUAUUGGGUUUAAAGGGUGCGUAGGUGGCCCUGUAAGUCAGUGGUGAAAUAUCUCAGCUUAACUGAGAGGGUGCCAUUGAUACUGCAGGGCUUGAGUACAGAUGAGGUAGGCGGAAUUGACGGUGUAGCGGUGAAAUGCAUAGAUAUCGUCAAGAACACCGAUAGCGAAGGCAGCUUACCAAGCUGUAACUGACACUGAGGCACGAAAGUGUGGGGAGCAAACGGGAUUAGAUACCCACGUAGUCCCUGAGCGGGCUGGCAAGGCGCAU
Molecule: ribosomal RNA, 447 nt
Filed under: uncultured bacterium
Lineage: Bacteria
Description: bacterial SSU rRNA
Rfam family: Bacterial small subunit ribosomal RNA
Source: RNAcentral